CAGGCCUAACACAUGCAAGUCGAGGGGCAGCGCGAGGUAGCAAUACUUUGGCGGCGACCGGCGGAAGGGUGCGUAACGCGUGAGCAACAUGCCCGUAUGAGGGGGAUAAGCGAUGGAAACGUCGUCUAAUACCCCGUAACACAGGAGAUCGCAUGAUCAUCUGUUGAAAGAUUUAUCGCAUACGGAUUGGCUCGCGUGACAUUAGCUAGUCGGCGGGGUAACGGCCCACCGAGGCGACGAUGUCUAGGGAUUCUGAGAGGAAAGUCCCCCACACUGGUACUGAGACACGGACCAGACUCCUACGGGAGGCAGCAGUGAGGAAUAUUGGUCAAUGGUCGCAAGACUGAACCAGCCAAGUAGCGUGCAGGACGACGGCCCUACGGGUUGUAAACUGCUUUUAUGCGGGGAUAACCGGCGGCACUUGUGCCGCCCUGCAGGUACCGCAUGAAUAAGGACCGGCUAAUUCCGUGCCAGCAGCCGCGGUAAUACGGAAGGUCCGGGCGUUAUCCGGAUUUAUUGGGUUUAAAGGGAGCGCAGGCGGGAGUCUAAGCGUGCCGUGAAAAGCUGUGGCUCAACCACAGUCGUGCGGCGCGAACUGGUCUUCUUGAGUUCACGGUAAGCGGGCGGAAUUCGUGGUGUAGCGGUGAAAUGCUUAGAUAUCACGAGGAACCCCGAUUGCGAAGGCAGCCCGCUGCAGUGUUACUGACGCUCAUGCUCGAAGGCGCGGGUAUCGAACAGGAUUAGAUACCCUGGUAGUCCGCGCGGUAAACGAUGGAUGCCCGCUGUGCGCCCCUGAGGGUGCGCGGCCAAGCGAAAGCGUUAAGCAUCCCACCUGGGGAGUACGCCGGCAACGGUGAAACUCAAAGGAAUUGACGGGGGCCCGCACAAGCGGAGGAACAUGUGGUUUAAUUCGAUAAUACGCGAGGAACCUUACCCGGGCUUGAACUGCAGAGGAAGGAUCUGGAGACAGUGACGCCCUUCGGGGUCUCUGCGGAGGUGCUGCAUGGUUGUCGUCAGCUCGUGCCGUGAGGUGUCGGCUUAAGUGCCAUAACGAGCGCAACCCCUCUCCCCGGUUGCCAUCAGGUGAUGCUGGGCACUCCGUGGACACUGCCGCCGCAAGGUGGAGGAAGGUGGGGAUGACGUCAAAUCAGCACGGCCCUUACGUCCGGGGCUACACACGUGUUACAAUGGGGGGCACAGCGUGCCGGCGCGUCGCAAGGUGCGUCCAAUCAUGAAAUCCCCCCUCAGUUCGGACUGGGGUCUGCAACCCGACCCCACGAAGCUGGAUUCGCYAGUAAUSGCGCAUCAGCCAUGGCGCGGUGAAUACGUUCCCGG
Molecule: ribosomal RNA, 1335 nt
Filed under: uncultured rumen bacterium
Lineage: Bacteria
Description: bacterial SSU rRNA
Rfam family: Bacterial small subunit ribosomal RNA
Source: RNAcentral